GUCCUUUAGUUUUAAUAAUUUAAGGUCUAACCUGCCCACUGAAAUAUUUUAAAUGGCCGCAGUAAAUUGACUGUGCAAAGGUAGCAUAAUCAUUAGUUUUUUAAUUAAAAGCUUGUAUGAAUGGUUUGACGAAAUAAAAUCUGUCUCUAGAUAAUAAUAAGAAUUUAAUUUUUAAGUUAAAAAGCUUAAAUAUAAUUAAAAGACGAGAAGACCCUAUAGAUCUUUAUAUUAAAUUUUAUAUUAUUAUUAAGGAUUUUUUAAUUUUAUUAUUAAAUUUAUUAUUUUAUUGGGGUAAUAGAAAGAUUAAAUAAAUUCUUUUUAAAUUUGUACAUAGAUAAUUGUUUAAAUGAUCCUUUAUUAAAGAUAAUAAGAUUAAGUUACCUUAGGGAUAACAGCGUAAUUUUUUUGGAGAGUUCAUAUCGAUAAAAAAGUUUGCGACCUCGAUGUUGGAUUAAAAAUUAUUCCAGGUGUAGAAGUUUG
Molecule: ribosomal RNA, 480 nt
Filed under: Scarodytes antoni
Lineage: Eukaryota; Metazoa; Arthropoda; Insecta; Coleoptera; Dytiscidae
Description: partial 16S ribosomal RNA
Source: RNAcentral